Molecule: long non-coding RNA, 787 nt
Organism: Schistocerca gregaria
Lineage: Eukaryota; Metazoa; Arthropoda; Insecta; Orthoptera; Acrididae
Exons: 2
Source: RefSeq, a predicted model, not a curated record
UAUUUAAUUAUAUAAUAUAAAUAAUUUUAUUGUAUUUUGUCUUAGUAUAUUUUAUAGAAUUGAUUUUUUAAAUUAUAGUGUAUUGGUAAUGUAAGUGUUUUAUGAAAUAUUAUUUUAAAUAUUUUAAGUAGAUUUUAUUUAUUGUACCUUUUGUAUCAGGGUUUAUCAAAAUUUUAGUAUUUAUUUUACUUGUCUCGAUAUGGGUUGAUUUAUAAAUAAUUUAUAGUUAAUGCAUCAUAAUUAUUAUUAAAUUAUUUAUAGAAAUGAGAUGUUAAUCGUUUCCCAAGAUAUCUAGUUUCUUAAGAAAAAAUUUAAUUUUUUAAGGUUAUUUGUUUUUAUUUAAUUUCUUAAGUAAAAAUAUUAACUUACUUAUUCUUUAAGGGAUAAGCUUUGAAGUUAAUAACCUAUUAUUUAUUUUUUAUAAAUAUAGUAGUAAGCUUUAAACCAGCUACCUUUAAGAUUACGUUUUAGUUCAUUAUUUUUUAUUUUGAUUUUAUAAAUAUUUUAGGUUUUUUAUUAAGAUUAUUAAUUUAAUUUUAAAAUUUUUGUAAUAAUGAUAGAAUUAGUAUAUUUAUUUGUAUAAAAUUUUUACCUUGUGAACUUAUUAUAAGGAACUAGGCAAAAUUGAUUUCCGCCUGUUUAUCAAAGACAUGUCCUCUUGUUAAUACUUUGAGGUCUGGCCUGCUCACUGAGCGUAUUUUUAAAGAGCCGCGGUAUUUUAACCGUGCAAAGGUAGCAUAAUCAUUAGUCUCUUAAUUAGUGGCUGGAAUGAAUGGCUUGACGAGAA